This 402-nucleotide ribosomal RNA is filed under the name uncultured bacterium. RNAcentral's name for it is "bacterial SSU rRNA". It matches the Rfam family "Bacterial small subunit ribosomal RNA", at positions 29 to 430 of the family's 1533-position model. The record is from RNAcentral.
AUUGAACGCUGGCGGCGUGCCUAACACAUGCAAGCCGAGCGGUAACAGGUGUAGCAAUACAUGCUGACGAGCGGCGGACGGGUGAGUAACGCUUGGGAAUCUGCCUAUUAGUGGGGGACAACCCGGGGAAACUCGGGCUAAUACCGCAUACGCACUACGGUGGAAAGCCGGGGACCGCAAGGCCUGGCGCUAACAGAUGAGCCCAAGUCGGAUUAGCUAGUUGGUAGGGUAACGGCUACCAAGGCGACGAUCCGUAACUGGUCUGAGAGGACGACCAGUCACACCGGAACUGAGACACGGUCCGGACUCCUACGGGAGGCAGCAGGUGGGGAAUAUUGGACAAUGGGCGAAAGCCUGAUCCAGCGACGCCGCGUGGGUGAAGAAGGCCUGCGGGUUGUAAAG